ACGGGGAGAUUCAUCGUCAGCGGCGCUGGCUUCGCGUCGGUGGGCGAUGUUCCGCGGAGCCCUUGCGGGUCCUACCGCGGACACGCUACCGUGCGUCGAUGUCCGGCGCUCGUCGUCGUGCACUUCUCCCCUAGUAGGACGUCGCGACCCGCUGGGUGUCGGUCUACGGCCCGGGUGCGGUGCCUGUCGCGUCGCCGGUAAAACGGCACGCGGCAAACCCCCGGUCGCCCGGCCGGCUGCCCGGCGGUACACGCAUGGUAUCAGGCCGCACUCUUCUCACGUGUGCGUCGAGACCGGCGCAAGCGCGCGCCACGGUACUCGGAGGUUACGGACCUAGCGCCGUCCCCGGUCCUGGCCCGCUGUUGGCUCGCUCGGAACUCCUUCGACAGGCCUGCAAAGUAUAUACCGGUCGGCGACGCUACUGCUUUGGGUACUCUUAGGACCCGUCUUGAAACACGGACCAAGGAGUCUAACAUGUACGCGAGUCAUUGGGACUAGCGAGACCUAAAGGCGCAAUGAAAGUGAAGGUCGGCCCUGGUUGUCGACCGAGGGAGGAUGGGCCGCGUCGCGAUGCGGCUCCGCACUCCCGGGGCGUCUCGUCU
RNAcentral lists this ribosomal RNA (602 nucleotides) under Liometopum microcephalum. RNAcentral describes it as "eukaryotic LSU rRNA". Lineage: Eukaryota; Metazoa; Arthropoda; Insecta; Hymenoptera; Formicidae. The record is from RNAcentral.